UACGUAGGGGGCAAGCGUUGUCCGGAUUCAUUGGGCGUAAAGAGCGUGUAGGCGGCCAGGUAGGUCGGUUGUGAAAACUGGAGGCUCAACCUUCAGACGUCGACCGAAACCAUCUGGCUAGAGUCCGGGAGAGGAGAGUGGAAUUCCUGGUGUAGCGGUGAAAUGCGCAGAUAUCAGGAAGAACACGCGUGGCGAAAGCGGCUCUCUGGAACGGUACUGACGCUGAGACGCGAAAGCGUGGGGAGCGAACAGG
This 253-nucleotide ribosomal RNA is filed under the name uncultured bacterium. Its description in RNAcentral is "partial 16S ribosomal RNA". It matches the Rfam family "Bacterial small subunit ribosomal RNA", at positions 524 to 776 of the family's 1533-position model. The record is from RNAcentral.